Molecule: unclassified non-coding RNA, 924 nt
Filed under: Drosophila melanogaster sigmavirus AP30
Lineage: Riboviria; Orthornavirae; Negarnaviricota; Monjiviricetes; Mononegavirales; Rhabdoviridae
Source: RNAcentral
CAACAACAAAUCAAAGUUCCCUCCACAAUGUGCCGACGAACCUCCGUUCUACCCUUAGUCCUUUCUCUUUUCCACCUAUAUUAUUAUGGAAAUGUUUUAUCUGUGUCUAUCCCGUUAUCUAUAAAUAUAACAGACAGGAUAUUGCCAGUGCAACUGAACACUACGAUCUUGAUGGAGGGUGCCGAAGAGCUGAACAUUACUCAGCAAUUAAAUGUGAAACACUUCCAAGAGGGCCAGCUCACAAGGGAGGAAAACUUUGUAUGCAGCCACAUGACAACUACAGAUCUAGCUACUGAUUUCUUCCAACUUUCAAAACUGGCCGGAGCUUAUGACGCCGCGGGUAGCCAAGACCAAAGAUUGCACUCUCCCUCUCUCACCUCUACGUUGGCCCCAGUAGUUCCUGAAACCACGCCUGCAACCCUUACCCCCGAUGGAGUGACGCUAAACAUUAGGACCUCAGUGACGGAUAUAAACCCAUUAACUCGCUUCACAAAAGCGGUUAGAGAUCUUAAAGAAGACAUUACACCAGGGUAUGAUCUGACCAACGGAAGAAAAUUCGGUCGGGAGUUUUUAAGAGCUCUUGAGGAGAAUGGGGUGCGAGGCAGGCACAAGAGGGAUUCAACCACAGAUGUGCUACAGAUGACACUGGAUGUGACUGAGUCUAGAGAAAAAUACGUUGAAAUCAGGGACCAGUGUGCGAGCGUAUUAGGUGCUCUGAUAAAGAGCAUGGUUCCAUCUGUAUCAGAACAUUGCUUGUAUCAUUAUCACAUUAAGAAUAUAAUAAAUUGUUUCACUAGUCAUUACAUCAGACUCCACAAUGAACCAGAUUUCCCGUUGGUUAUGGCAUUAUACUCUGAAUACCUAUCGCUCACAGUGAAGAUCCAUUACAUGGACGAGAUCUUAGUCAGCACCCUAAGGGCAUGA